This 499-nucleotide ribosomal RNA is filed under the name uncultured bacterium. RNAcentral describes it as "partial 16S ribosomal RNA". It matches the Rfam family "Bacterial small subunit ribosomal RNA", at positions 899 to 1397 of the family's 1533-position model. The record is from RNAcentral.
ACUCAAAUGAAUUGACGGGGGCCCGCACAAGCGGUGGAGCAUGUGGUUUAAUUCGAUGCUACGCGAAGAACCUUACCCAGACUUGACAUCCCGGGCUAUCCUAAGAAAUUAGGAGUUCCCUUUUAGGGACCCGGUGACAGGUGCUGCAUGGCUGUCGUCAGCUCGUGUUGUGAGAUGUUGGGUUAAGUCCCGCAACGAGCGCAACCCCUGUCGCUAGUUACCAUCAUUUAGUUGGGCACUCUAGCGAGACCGCUGGGCUAUAAGCCAGAGGAAGGUGGGGACGACGUCAAGUCCUCAUGGCCUGUAUGUCUGGGGCUACACACGUGCUACAAUGGGAAGUACAAAGCGCAGCAAGCUCGCGAGAGCAAGCAAAUCGCAAAAAACUUCUCACAGUUCGGAUUGAAGUCUGCAACUCGACUUCAUGAAGCUGGAAUCGCUAGUAAUCGCGGAUCAGCACGCCGCGGUGAAUACGUUCCCGGGCCUUGCACACACCGCCCGU